This 125-nucleotide transfer RNA is filed under the name Opeltia flavorubescens. RNAcentral describes it as "tRNA-Arg (TCT) (tRNA-Arg-TCT-1-1)". It matches the Rfam family "tRNA". From Rfam's summary of the family: Transfer RNA (tRNA) molecules are approximately 80 nucleotides in length. Their secondary structure includes four short double-helical elements and three loops (D, anti-codon, and T loops). Lineage: Eukaryota; Fungi; Ascomycota; Lecanoromycetes; Teloschistales; Teloschistaceae. The record is from RNAcentral.
GCUCCAAUGGCGCAAUGGUGAGAGAUACAUCUGCUCUGUCACAUUUCGCGCAAUCUAACAGCAUCUUCAGGUAGCGCGCCAGACUUCUAAUCUGGAGGCUCUGGGUUCGAGUCCCAGUUGGAGUG